CUGCCUUUAAGUGGGGGAUAACCCGGGGAAACCCGGAUUAAUACCGCAUGAUCUCGCAAGAGCAAAGUGGGGGAUCGCAAGACCUCACGCUUUUAGAGGAACCUACGUCGGAUUAGCUUGUUGGUGAGGUAAUGGCUCACCAAGGCGACGAUCCGUAACUGGUCUGAGAGGAUGAUCAGUCACACCGGAACUGAGACACGGUCCGGACUCCUACGGGAGGCAGCAGUGGGGAAUAUUGGACAAUGGGCGAAAGCCUGAUCCAGCAAUACCGCGUGUGUGAAGAAGGCCUUCGGGUUGUAAAGCACUUUAAGUUGGGAAGAAAAAACUUCAAUUAAUACUUGAAGUCUUGACGGUACCGACAGAAUAAGCACUGGCUAACUCUGUGCCAGCAGCCGCGGUAAUACAGAGGGUGCUAGCGUUAAUCGGAUUUACUGGGCGUAAAGCGUGCGUAGGCGGUUUGAUAAGUCGGUUGUGAAAGCCCCGGGCUCAACCUGGGAAUUGCGGCCGAUACUGUCAGACUAGAAAACGGUAGAGGGAGGCGGAACUCCAGGUGUAGCGGUGAAAUGCGUAGAUAUCUGGAAGAACACCGAUGGCGAAGGCAACCUCCUGGGCCUGUUUUGACGCUGAGGCACGAAAGCGUGGGUAGCAAACAGGAUUAGAUACCCUGGUAGUCCACGCCGUAAACGAUGAGAACUUGACGUUGGUUUGCUUAGCAAAUCGGUGUCGUAGCUAACGCGAUAAGUUCUCCGCCUG
Molecule: ribosomal RNA, 753 nt
Filed under: uncultured bacterium
Lineage: Bacteria
Description: bacterial SSU rRNA
Rfam family: Bacterial small subunit ribosomal RNA
Source: RNAcentral